Small nucleolar RNA from Andrographis paniculata, 80 nucleotides. Lineage: Eukaryota; Viridiplantae; Streptophyta; Magnoliopsida; Lamiales; Acanthaceae. The record is from RefSeq and is a predicted model, not a curated record.
GGGCAAAUGAUGAUCACUAUGAAAUUGAGCUUAUUAUUCCGUGAAGCUUCAAAAUUCGAGCUUUUUAAAGCUGAUGCCCU